Molecule: ribosomal RNA, 465 nt
Filed under: Triticum aestivum (bread wheat)
Lineage: Eukaryota; Viridiplantae; Streptophyta; Magnoliopsida; Poales; Poaceae
Description: partial small subunit ribosomal RNA
Source: RNAcentral
AUGCCUAAUUAUGUUCCUAUUAGGGUUUACAUCCAAAUGGUGGAGCAUACUUGCAGCAUGUUCAUGACAUUGUCUUGCACAAAUCAUUCUGAUGCUUGUGCAUUAUUCUGGACUCAUGACACUAUUUACAAUGAUGAAAAAAUUUCCCACUACAGAGAGCAGCAUCCUCGCCUCCCUGAGCGUAUGGUUGUACCCAACAUGUGCAGAAACACAGUACAGUUUCACGCUGCAGCUUCAGGCCCACCAACUGACAACAAAGUGUUGGGAUCACGGAACUCUGGUGCAGCUACAGCUACUAAAAAUCAGUUUGGAAUCAACAACAAUUCCUUGAUACCAUAUGAUGUUACAGGUACAACGCGAUCAUGCAACCCACCUCUUUUUGCACUCCAUGGAGUUCCCAGGUUUCAUCCUUGCCAUUUCAUGUGGUACAGUGAGUGCUUCCUAAGUGGGAUGAUGGAAUCUUGA